Molecule: long non-coding RNA, 1970 nt
Organism: Pongo pygmaeus (Bornean orangutan)
Lineage: Eukaryota; Metazoa; Chordata; Mammalia; Primates; Hominidae
Exons: 2
Source: RefSeq, a predicted model, not a curated record
GGCUUCCGCCUCUGCCGGCGCGGUCCGCGCGGCCCCGGGGGCGCCAAGCUCCGCUGCCCGCGCGCCCACCUCCCUGGGGCCCGCCCCAUGCUCGCGCCCCCUGGCGGCCGGCCCGGCCCUGCUCGCCUCGCGACAUCAGAGGGGCGUCGCGCUCAGAACGGCCACCGGGGAAACUGAGGCACGGGGGCCCGCCCCCGCCGCAGCGCGCCGACACGGCUCGUCCGGCCUCGGCCUCACGCAGUCCUACGUGCAGCCCCGGCUGCGGACAAGUUCCUCCCCUCUUGCUGUUCCCCCACUCCCGACACCACCCUCCAACCUAGAAAAAAGUCAAAAUUCCAUUCAGAGAAGUCCAACUCGAUUCCUGUCUGCGUGUAAUGCUGUCCUCUUUGCUACCCCAAGGCAGUUUCCCUUAUUAUGCCACACAAUACUCGCUGGGGUUCGCCUCUAUCUGUCCCAUUUUUUUCUGAGGAAAGUCUCUCAGGACAUCUUUGAGAAUUUGAGAGCAAGAAAUGACAGAAAGCAAGAACUGGGCAGGGCUGAGAGAACUCCUCCAACUCAGUUUCUGAAUCCCCGCAGUAUUCCCGUUGUUUGUUAAAGAUCACGAAGUUACACAGCUUGGCUAUGUUGCUGGAAUUGCUGCGCCUCACGUUUCUGCAAUCUACCUAGGGGAUUCUGAAGAAGGCGCAAAACUUCAGAGGGCGAAGAGGACGUUCACCUGACCCCAACAGCAACCAGAACGGUACAAGUUAUACUCAGUCCUUGAAAGAACUAAGAAGACAAUUCACUCCACACAGCUUCUAUGUCAUGUGGUUUAGAUAAGGAAUCUAGGCUGAUAAAGGCCAAAGUGAGGGAUGGCCUUCUCUGAAUAUAGAGAUAGUUGGGGAAAUCCCCUCUGGGGAUGUAACAUUUACCUGAAACUUGAAUAAUGAGAAAGAAUCAAGCCGGACGUGGUGGCUCAAGCCCGUAGUCCCACGAUCUGCAGUGAGCCGUGAUGGCACCACUGCACUCCAGCCUGUGCGACAGAGUGAAACCCCAUCUCAAAAAAAGAGAGAAAGAAUCACCAUGUAAAGAGCUCUUCAGGCAGGAGAAACUGCAGGUGCAAAAUCUUGAAGUAGAAAGCCAUCUAGUAAGUUUCAGAAACACAAAAUAAGCCAUGUGAAGCAGGGAGGCAGUUUUAUGAGAUGAGAUUAGAAAACAAACAGGGCCAGGUGCAGUGUCACGCAUCUGUAAUCUCAGCUACUUUGGAGGGUGAGGUGAGAGGCUCACUUGAGCCCAGGAGUUCAAGACUGCAGCACAUUAUGAUUGUGCCUGUGAAUAGCCACUGCUCUCCAGCCUGGGCAACAUAGCAAGACCCUGUCUGUUAAUAAUAAUAAUAAUAAUAAUAACCAUCUUUUUUUUUCUUUUUUUUGAGAUGGAGUCUCGCUCUGUCGCCCAGGCCGGAGUGCAAUAGUGUGUGCAAUCUUGGUUCACUGCAACCUCUGCCUCCCAGGUUCAAGUGAUUCUCCUGCCUCAGCCUCCCAAGUAGCUGGGACUACAGGCAUGCGCCACCACACCCGGUUAAUUUUUAUAUUUUUAGUAGAGAUGGGGUUUCAUCAUGUUGGCCAAACUGGGCUUGAACUCCUGACCUCAGGUGAUCCACCCUCCUUGGCCUCCCAAACUGCUGGGAUUACAAGCAUGAGCCACUGCACACGACCAAAUAAUAACUAACAAACAGUAUGUAGGUCAUUCCUGGUUUGGUGAGCCAUGGCAAAGAGAUUGAUUUUUGUGAUAAGUUGAUGUAUUGAGACAUGAUUAAAAUAUCCCCAAAUGAAGGUACUGAAAUGAAAAUAAACAAACGAGAUAAAUGUGUGUGGAACUGCCUUGUUAACAAUAAGGAUUAUAUCUGUAUAUGUCAUAUUAAAACUAAAAAGUACAUUGUUUUUCCCCUUGAAUAAUCCUCAAUAAACCAAAACACAGAAUGGCUCAAUUCA